RNAcentral lists this ribosomal RNA (532 nucleotides) under Streptomyces sp. LP59. Its description in RNAcentral is "bacterial SSU rRNA". It matches the Rfam family "Bacterial small subunit ribosomal RNA", at positions 219 to 763 of the family's 1533-position model. Lineage: Bacteria; Bacillati; Actinomycetota; Actinomycetes; Kitasatosporales; Streptomycetaceae. The record is from RNAcentral.
UGCAGGAUGAGCCCGCGGCCUAUCAGCUUGUUGGUGAGGUAGUGGCUCACCAAGGCGACGACGGGUAGCCGGCCUGAGAGGGCGACCGGCCACACUGGGACUGAGACACCGCCCAGACUCCUACGUUAGGCAGCAGUGGGGAAUAUUGCACAAUGGGAAAAAGCCUGAUGCAGCGACGCCGCGUGAGGGAUGACGGCCUUCGGGUUGUAAACCUCUUUCAGCAGGGAAGAAGCGAAAGUGACGGUACCUGCAGAAGAAGCGCCGGCUAACUACGUGCCAGCAGCCGCGGUAAUACGUAGGGCGCAAGCGUUGUCCGGAAUUAUUGGGCGUAAAGAGCUCGUAGGCGGCUUGUCACGUCGGUUGUGAAAGCCCGGGGCUUAACCCCGGGUCUGCAGUCGAUACGGGCAGGCUAGAGUUCGGUAGGGGAGAUCGGAAUUCCUGGUGUAGCGGUGAAAUGCGCAGAUAUCAGGAGGAACACCGGUGGCGAAGGCGGAUCUCUGGGCCGAUACUGACGCUGAGGAGCGAAAGCGUG